This is a long non-coding RNA of Musa acuminata AAA Group (dessert banana), 420 nucleotides long. RefSeq lists it as uncharacterized. The record is from RefSeq and is a predicted model, not a curated record. The transcript is spliced from 3 exons. NCBI's taxonomy places the organism in Eukaryota, Viridiplantae, Streptophyta, Magnoliopsida, Zingiberales, Musaceae.
UCUUCUUUUCCGUUUCCUCUUGCCAAAUCUGAACCCUAGACUCCCGAAUCCUCUCUGAAACAAGAAGCCGUCACUUCCGAUCCAAGAACUCAGAUCACGGAGGCGAUGGCCUUCUCUGAUCGACCGCUCCUGUUGCCUCGGCAUGGCGACGACUGGGGCGUUGGACAAUCUCCCGAUGCCAAGUCCUGAGGGAGAUUCCUCAUGCUUCUAAUGUCAGGUUGUGCUCGCCGAUGUUGGAAGGGGUUACCGCACCUGGAACGUUUGACGCACCAAGAGAAGGACAUGAUCGUGAAGCUCGAAGCAAGGUUGUGGAUGUCUUAUGGAAACCCAAACCCUUCACUGGCUAAGAAGCAGGCAUCAGCUGCGUCCUAGCUUCAUUUAUAACCAGCAGUACCUUCCAUCCUUAAUCAUAUUAUAGAU